This is a long non-coding RNA of Cydia pomonella (codling moth), 2282 nucleotides long. RefSeq lists it as uncharacterized. The transcript has 3 exons. Lineage: Eukaryota; Metazoa; Arthropoda; Insecta; Lepidoptera; Tortricidae. The record is from RefSeq and is a predicted model, not a curated record.
UUUUAAUACACAUACUUAUAUCUAGGUAGGAGUACGCUCAGACAUAACAAUAUCGCUUUACAAACGGAAAACCGCGACAGAUAAUCGUAUAAAGUCGUUAAAAAUUCUAAAAUAAAAAGUAUAAAAAGUUUCAGAGCCACUGACCGCCCUUACGCUGUUCGUUCCAUCAAAAUGCUGUCACGCCAUUGGUCGGUUCCGUACGCGCCUAUCGCACGGUUCCGCCAUCUUGUACCGCGCAGCGCUUCAAUCAACUAGAGUAUCUUUUACAUUUUAUAUUGUUUCAGUUAACAUUGUUUUGUUCUUUAUCACGUCGUUUUUUGACACUGGAGACCUUAUAAAAAAUAAAACUGGUGUAAGUAUAACCUUUGAUAUACACAUAACAGUCGAUUUUUAUACAAUAAGGGUGUAAAGAAGUGAAUAGUUUUUAGUGUUUGUUAAAGCGCUUUAAGCGCUAAAUAGUGUGGUAGUAAUUUACUCCCUUCAGUAUUUCUGCCAGUCACUCGCUUGGCUCAUUCUGUUCAGUGUGAUUUAAGCGUCCGAAGUCUAUGGACAAUUUCGCGUAAAUAUACAUUUAAAAACUAUUUCACAGUUAUUUUUCCAACUAUUAUCAGUAUUUAAAAGUUUAGUUUCACUUUGUAUAACGUUUUUGGUGUGACGCGAGUAAUUCUGGCGCGUAAUUCUAUUUUUAAAUGUAUUCGGGAGUUUUGCAAAAAUGGCGGAGAGUUGGGUGUUUUUUCGUAGUGCGUUCCUGUAACCGUUGAAAAUGACGCUUUAAGGGAAAUAUUGAUUGGAACUGUGAAACAUCAUUGAUCUGAACAGAAAUGGAGCACGUGCAAACUGGAAGGCGAGAAGCGAUCGAGUUGCGAUCGAGGCAAAGAUGUGGUCCUAUUGCAAUGAAUAGAAUGCCUGAAUAUAACCUAUUUAUAUCACUGGGGGCCUACCGCGAAAACCGAAAUCCGCAAAUUGCGGGGAUCUUUCUCUUUUACUCUCAUUAAACGUAAUUAGAGUGACAGAGAAAAAUGCCCGCAAUUGACGAACCUUGAUGUUCGCGGUAGGCCCCCGGUAAUAUAUGAUCACGCGCCAUGUUGCGGAAUUUCAUUGGAACUAAAUUUUUCAUACUAAACUGAACUGUCACCCUAUACUUAGUCUGGUCAUAAGUUCUGUCAAAAAGGUUUUGACUGAUAAAAAAGCUAUAGGUUAAGAUUCCGUAUUAUUCAUAUAUAUGGGUAUAGCUUAUUAAAUGCUGAAUUACAUAAAUUAUAAUUAAAGGUAAUUUGCUGUCUCAGUUUUGCAUAAUUCUAUGUAAUAUUCAGAAAAAUGUUAUAAAAAGCAUUUAAAAAAUACUCGAUCUGUUCGAGGUGAUUUUGUUCCCUAGGUUUUUAUUCUUCUUGUUUACAUGGUUGAAUCUUACUAAAUAAAUUCAUAAAUGAGACACACAAAGUCAAAUAAAUGAACAUUUUAAAUAAUAAUAAAAUAAAAUGAUAAAUUCAAUUAAAUGCAGCUCUGUUUUUUACAAAUUCAAUUGAUCUAUUACUCAGUAAAAUUAUUAUUUUUAUAUUUUACUUGGGCGAAGUUGGGCACCGUCGUUGAAGUUUGGGUUCCCGACGGUAGAUAAUUUUGCCAACUCCUUUUCCUUUGGCAUAACAUUACAAGUUCAUCAAACAAUAGGUUACUUAAAAAUAUAACUUGGUCAAGCAAAUCUUGUCAGUAGCAAAACGCGGCAAAUUUGAAAAAUCGCGGGUUAGCAACACUGUUUUAGAAUAAUUCCAAAAUCGGGUGUCAUCUGUGUUUUAUCUGUGGAAUGUGGAUAGUGAAUGACAGUCAUCAUAUUUGUUUACAUUCUGAAUCGUUGCUAAUUCAAGAGAAAUUUCUCUGUCACUAUUAAAAACCAAUAUAUUAAAUAAGCUUGUGCAUGAACUUAAGCAAAAUCAAGGUGCCUACAAAAUACAAUCGCGCUCGUUGAUCGUAAAUAUUUGUAAAAUUUGAGGUUAUGAUAAUAACAUGUUUUGGUUCGAUGUACAUUGCUGCUUUUCUUAGCGCAAUACCAACGCAAUACGUACUGCUUUUUGAGUGUUGCCCUACUUCACUUUGCUUUACAUUGCUACUGACAUACUUUGCUUGACAGACUAUAUCCAUGUAUCUAUUUUACUGUACUACAAAGAGCCACCUAUAAUUAUCGUAGUUAGUUGACAAGCCUACAUCAUUAGCGCGGGAGGGUGCGAUUGCAAUGGGAACACACCUUUGCCUACUUUCGAGAAUUAUUUGCGACUAGAAGAGAAACG